CAACAGCUAGAGUUUGAUCCUGGCUCAGGAUGAACGCUGGCGGCGUGCUUAAUACAUGCAAGUCGAACGGAGACAGUAGCAAUAUUGUCUUAGUGGCGAACGGGUGAGUAACGCGUUGGUGACCUGCCCCGAAGUGUGGGAUAACAGUUCGAAAGGAUUGCUAAUACCACAUGUGGUCAUUUGGAUUAGAUGCCUUAUGACUAAAGGAUUAUUCGCUUCGGGAGGGGCCUGCGUCCCAUCAGCUAGUUGGUAAGGUAACGGCCUACCAAGGCGAUGACGGGUAGGGGACCUGAGAGGGUGGCCCCCCACAAUGGAACUGAAACACGGUCCAUACACCUACGGGUGGCAGCAGUAGGGAAUAUUGGUAAUCUGGGAAACCGGGAACCAGCAACGCCGCGUGCGCGAUGAAGGCCUUCGGGUUGUAAAGCGCUUUUUGAAGGGAUGAGGAAGGACAGUACCUUCAGAAUAAGCCUCGGCUAAACUACGUGCC
RNAcentral lists this ribosomal RNA (490 nucleotides) under uncultured bacterium. RNAcentral's name for it is "bacterial SSU rRNA". It matches the Rfam family "Bacterial small subunit ribosomal RNA", at positions 1 to 509 of the family's 1533-position model. The record is from RNAcentral.